Molecule: long non-coding RNA, 4193 nt
Organism: Acanthochromis polyacanthus (spiny chromis)
Lineage: Eukaryota; Metazoa; Chordata; Actinopteri; Pomacentridae
Exons: 6
Source: RefSeq, a predicted model, not a curated record
GGGGAUGGAACGAAAGCAGCAGGUUCUCUGGAAACAGACGAGGAAAAACCGAACAUGUGGUUCAGGUUAUAAGGACAGAAGUAGUACGUAUAGACUGAGGUUAUGAGGAUAGAAGUAGUACGUAUAGACUGAGGUUAUAAGGAUAGAAGUAGUACGUAUAGACUGAGGUUAUAAGGACAGAAGUAGUACGUAUAGACUGAGGUUAUAAGGAUAGAAGUAGUACGUAUAGACUGAGGUUAUAAGGACAGAAGUAGUACGUAUAGACUGAGGUUAUAAGGACAGAAGUAGUACGUAUAGACUGAGGUUAUAAGGACAGAAGUAGUACGUAUAGACUGAGGUUAUAAGGAUAGAAGUAGUACGUAUAGACUGAGGUUAUAAGGACAGAAGUAGUACGUAUAGACUGAGGUUAUAAGGAUAGAAGUAGUACGUAUAGACUGAGGUUAUAAGGAUAGAAGUAGUACGUAUAGACUGAGGUUAUAAGGACAGAAGUAGUACGUAUAGACUGAGGUUAUAAGGACAGAAGUAGUACGUAUAGACUGAGGUUAUAAGGACAGAAGUAGUACGUAUAGACUGAGGUUAUAAGGACAGAAGUAGUACGAAUAGACUGAGGUUAUGAGUACAGAAGUAGUACGUAUAGACUGAGGUUAUAAGGACAGAAGUAGUACGUAUAGACUGAGGUUAUAAGGAUAGAAGUAGUACGUAUAGACUGAGGUUAUAAGGAUAGAAGUAGUACGUAUAGACUGAGGUUAUGAGGACAGAAGUAGUACGAAUAGACUGAGGUUAUGAGUACAGAAGUAGUACGUAUAGACUGAGGUUAUAAGGACAGAAGUAGUACGUAUAGACUGAGGUUAUAAGGAUAGAAGUAGUACGUAUAGACUGAGGUUAUAAGGACAGAAGUAGUACGUAUAGACUGAGGUUAUAAGGAUAGAAGUAGUACGUAUAGACUGAGGUUAUAAGGACAGAAAUAGUACGUAUAGACUGAGGUUAUAAGGGCAGAAGUAGUACGUAUAGACUGAGGUUAUAAGGACAGAAGUAGUAUGUAUAGACUGAGGUUAUAAGGACAGAAAUAGUACGUAUAGACUGAGGUUAUAAGGGCAGAAGUAGUACGUAUAGACUGAGGUUAUAAGGACAGAAGUAGUACGUAUAGACUGAGGUUAUAAGGACAGAAGUAGUACGUAUAGACUGAGGUUAUAAGGACAGAAAUAGUACGUAUAGACUGAGGUUAUAAGGAUAGAAGUAGUACGUAUAGACUGAGGUUAUAAGGGUAGAAGUAGUACGUAUAGACUGAGGUUAUAAGGGUAGAAGUAGUACGUAUAGACUGAGGUUAUAAGGGUAGAAGUAGUACGUAUAGACUGAGGUUAUGAGGACAGAAGUAGUACGAAUAGACUGAGGUUAUGAGUACAGAAGUAGUACGUAUAGACUGAGGUUAUGAGGAUAGAAGUAGUACGUAUAGACUGAGGCUAUGAGGAUAGAAGUAGUACGUAUAGACUGAGGUUAUGAGGAUAGAAGUAGUACGUAUAGACUGAGGUUAUAAGGAUAGAAGUAGUACGUAUAGACUGAGGCUAUGAGUACAGAAGUAGUACGUAUAGACUGAGGUUAUGAGGAUAGAAGUAGUACGUAUAGACUGAGGUUAUAAGGGUAGAAGUAGUACGUAUAGACUGAGGUUAUGAGGAUAGAAGUAGUACGUAUAGACUGAGGCUAUGAGUACAGAAGUAGUACGUAUAGACUGAGGUUAUGAGGAUAGAAGUAGUACGUAUAGACUGAGGCUAUGAGUACAGAAGUAGUACGUAUAGACUGAGGCUAUGAGGAUAGAAGUAGUACGUAUAGACUGAGGUUAUGAGGACAGAAGUAGUACGAAUAGACUGAGGUUAUGAGUACAGAAGUAGUACGUAUAGACUGAGGUUAUGAGGAUAGAAGUAGUACGUAUAGACUGAGGUUAUAAGGACAGAAAUAGUACGUAUAGACUGAGGUUAUAAGGAUAGAAGUAGUACGUAUAGACUGAGGUUAUAAGGACACAAGUAGUACGUAUAGACUGAGGUUAUAAGGGCAGAAGUAGUACGUAUAGACUGAGGUUAUAAGGACAGAAGUAGUACGUAUAGACUGAGGUUAUAAGGACAGAAGUAGUACGUAUAGACUGAGGUUAUAAGGGUAGAAGUAGUACGUAUAGACUGAGGUUAUAAGGGUAGAAGUAGUACGUAUAGACUGAGGUUAUGAGGACAGAAGUAGUACGAAUAGACUGAGGUUAUGAGUACAGAAGUAGUACGUAUAGACUGAGGUUAUGAGUACAGAAGUAGUACGUAUAGACUGAGGCUAUGAGGAUAGAAGUAGUACGUAUAGACUGAGGUUAUGAGGAUAGAAGUAGUACGUAUAGACUGAGGUUAUAAGGAUAGAAGUAGUACGUAUAGACUGAGGCUAUGAGUACAGAAGUAGUACGUAUAGACUGAGGUUAUGAGGAUAGAAGUAGUACGUAUAGACUGAGGUUAUAAGGGUAGAAGUAGUACGUAUAGACUGAGGUUAUGAGGACAGAAGUAGUACGAAUAGACUGAGGUUAUGAGUACAGAAGUAGUACGUAUAGACUGAGGUUAUGAGGAUAGAAGUAGUACGUAUAGACUGAGGUUAUGAGUACAGAAGUAGUACGUAUAGACUGAGGUUAUGAGGAUAGAAGUAGUACGUAUAGACUGAGGCUAUGAGGAUAGAAGUAGUACGUAUAGACUGAGGUUAUGAGGAUAGAAGUAGUACGUAUAGACUGAGGUUAUAAGGAUAGAAGUAGUACGUAUAGACUGAGGCUAUGAGUACAGAAGUAGUACGUAUAGACUGAGGUUAUGAGGAUAGAAGUAGUACGUAUAGACUGAGGCUAUGAGGAUAGAAGUAGUACGUAUAGACUGAGGUUAUGAGGAUAGAAGUAGUACGUAUAGACUGAGGCUAUGAGUACAGAAGUAGUACGUAUAGACUGAGGUUAUGAGGAUAGAAGUAGUACGUAUAGACUGAGGCUAUGAGGAUAGAAGUAGUACGUAUAGACUGAGGUUAUGAGGAUAGAAGUAGUACGUAUAGACUGAGGUUAUAAGGAUAGAAGUAGUACGUAUAGACUGAGGUUAUGAGGACAGAAGUAGUACGUAUAGACUGAGGCUAUGAGUACAGAAGUAGUACGUAUAGACUGAGGUUAUGAGGAUAGAAGUAGUACGUAUAGACUGAGGCUAUGAGUACAGAAGUAGUACGUAUAGACUGAGGUUAUGAGGAUAGAAGUAGUACGUAUAGACUGAGGCUAUGAGGAUAGAAGUAGUACGUAUAGACUGAGGUUAUGAGGAUAGAAGUAGUACGUAUAGACUGAGGUUAUAAGGAUAGAAGUAGUACGUAUAGACUGAGGUUAUGAGGACAGAAGUAGUACGUAUAGACUGAGGCUAUGAGUACAGAAGUAGUACGUAUAGACUGAGGCUAUGAGGAUAGAAGUAGUACGUAUAGACUGAGGUUAUGAGGAUAGAAGUAGUACGUAUAGACUGAGGUUAUAAGGAUAGAAGUAGUACGUAUAGACUGAGGUUAUGAGGACAGAAGUAGUACGUAUAGACUGAGGCUAUGAGUACAGAAGUAGUACGUAUAGACUGAGGUUAUGAGUACAGAAGUAGUACGUAUAGACUGAGGCUAUGAGUACAGAAGUAGUACGUAUAGACUGAGGUUAUGAGGAUAGAAGUAGUACGUAUAGACUGAGGUUAUGAGUACAGAAGUAGUACGUAUAGACUGAGGUUAUGAGGAUAGAAGUAGUACGUAUAGACUGAGGCUAUGAGUACAGAAGUAGUACGUAUAGACUGAGGUUAUGAGGAUAGAAGUAGUACGUAUAGACUGAGGCUAUGAGGAUAGAAGUAGUACGUAUAGACUGAGGUUAUGAGGAUAGAAGUAGUAUGUAUAGACUUAGGUUAUAAGGACAGAAGUAGUACGUAUAGACUGAGGCUAUAAGGACAGAAGUAGUACGUAUAGACUGAGUUUAUAAGGACAGAAGUAGUACGUAUAGACUGAGUUUAUAAGGAUAGAAGUAGUACGUAUAGACUGAGGUUAUGAGGACAGAAGUAGUACGUAUAGACUGAGGCUAUAAGGACAGAAGUAGUACGUAUAGACUGAGUUUAUAAGGAUAGAAGUAGUACGUAUAGACUGAGGCUAUAAGGACAGAAGUAGUACGUAUAGACUGAGGCUAUAAGGACAGA